GAUGAACGCUGACAGAAUGCUUAACACAUGCAAGUCUUUGGCGAAGCUGUGCUUGCACAGCCUAGCCAAGGCGGACGGGUGAGUAACGCGUAAGGAACUUGCCCUGCAGUCAGGGAUAACAGACGGAAACGACUGAUAAGACCUGGUAAAGUCAGGCAGACUCAUGUCCAGCCUGAUGAAAAGAGAUGCUGCAGGAGAGCCUUGCGUCCUAUUAGCUUGUUGGUGGGGUAACGGCCCACCAAGGCGAUGAUAGGUAGCCGGCCUGAGAGGGUGGACGGCCACAAGGGGACGGAGAUACGGCGCUUACUCCUACGGGAAGCAGCAGUGGGGAAUAUUGGACAAUGGGGGCAACCCUGAUCCAGCAAUUCUGUGUGCACGAUGAAGGUUUUCGGAUUGUAAAGUGCUUUCAGCAGGGAAGAAAAAAUGACGGUACCUGCAGAAGAAGCGACGGCUAAAUACGUG
This 462-nucleotide ribosomal RNA is filed under the name uncultured bacterium. RNAcentral describes it as "partial 16S ribosomal RNA". It matches the Rfam family "Bacterial small subunit ribosomal RNA", at positions 28 to 507 of the family's 1533-position model. The record is from RNAcentral.